Molecule: ribosomal RNA, 385 nt
Filed under: uncultured bacterium
Lineage: Bacteria
Description: bacterial SSU rRNA
Rfam family: Bacterial small subunit ribosomal RNA
Source: RNAcentral
GACGAACGCUGGCGGCGUGCUUAACACGUGCAAGUCGAGCGGUAAGGCCCUUUCGGGGGUACACGAGCGGCGAACGGGUGAGUAACACGUGGGUGACCUGCCCUCAGCUCUGGGAUAAGCCUGGGAAACCGGGUCUAAUACCGGAUAUGACUCCAUGACGCAUGUUGUGGGGUGGAAAGCCUUGUGCGGCUGAGGAUGGGCCCGCGGCCUAUCAGCUUGUUGGUGGGGUGANGGCCUACCAAGGCGACGACGGGUAGCCGGCCUGAGAGGGCGACCGGCCACACUGGGACUGAGACACGGGCCCAGACUCCUACGGGAGGCAGCAGUGGGGAAUUUGGACAAUGGGGAAACCUGAUCCAGCCAUGCCGCGUGAGUGAAGAAGGCC